UCUUGAUCUCCUGACCUCGUGAUCCACCCGCCUCAGCCUCCCAAAGUGCUGGGAUUACAGGCGUAAGCCACCGCACCCCGCAACCCCUUCCUUCUUUAACUUGGUGUCUGAGGAGUUUUGUCUGGGCUGGUCCUGCUACAUUUCUUGGUUCCCUGACCCAGAAGCGAGGUGAUUGGUGGAUGGUCAAGGCAGCUCCUUAGGCAGCUUCUUAGGCAGCUUAAGCCUGCCCUGUGGAACAUCCCUGCGGGGGACUCCGACCAGACCAGCCCAAGCGACGUGGAUCCUGAGAGCGUUCCUGGGUAGGCAUUUGCCCUGGUGGGACGCCUCGCCAGAGCAAUGUGUGGCAGGUCCCCGUGGGGGAUCAACGCAGUGGCUGAACACCAGGAAGGAAUGGGCACUUGGAGUCUGGACACCUAAAACUUGAGCAUCCCUGCAGGGGACUCUGGCCAGCUUGAGCAACACGGAUCCUAAGAGCGCUCCCGGGUAGGCAUUUGCCCCGGUUGAACACCUCACCAGAGCAGCGCACAGCAGGCCCCCGCGGAGGAUCAACGCAGUGGCUGAACACCGGGAAGGAACUGGCACUUUAAGUCUGGACAUCUGAAACUUGGUAAGACUGGUCUUUGGAACUUGCCACUCCUCUUGAGUGGAAGUGUGGCCUGAUCACCCAUGGCGUGCCUGUACCGGCACAUUGGUUUUUGUUUUUGACUUGACUUGAAUUGCUUGAUACUUUGGUUUUAGUUUUGAUUUUGACUUGACUUGAAUUGCUUGAUAAACAGACAUGCCUUUAUUGGCACUUUGGUUUUGGUUCUGAUUUUGACUUGGCUUAAAUUGCUUGAUGAACAGGUGUGCCUUUAACAACACUUUGGUUUUAGUUUUCAUUUUGAUUUAGUGUGAAUUAGAUGAGUGAGUGACCUUUUAUCCUUUCCUUCUUGUAGUGUGAAUGUUGUUUUGUCUCAAGAGAAAAAUAGGUCAGACACAAAGUAAGCCUACUCCACUAAGAACUGUGUUAAAAAAAAUUUUCAAAAAGAAAAAUAAAAGGAAAGUCAUCAAAUCAUCAAAACUUAUUCCAUUAAAAUGCAGGUUACAGAACCUUAAGAAGGGUUUUGCAGGAGAUUAUAGAGUUAAGUUAACCCCUAGAGGCUAAGAACUCUGUGUAAAUUAGAAUUGCCCUCUUUUGGUGUUGGAUGGCCCACCGAAGGAACUAUAGACAGGGAACAAUUGGCCAUGUAUUUAAGGUGGUGACAGGGGUUGGAGGACAGCCAGUGUACCUAGAUCAAAUUACUUUAUAUUGACUCAUGGUUAAAUAUAAUAUAGACAAAAUGGGCAUAAAUUUAGCCCUGUUUAACAGCUUAUUGCAAAAAAAGCCAAAAGUAAAAGUAAGAGCAGCUUCGCCAGCAGACAUGGAGUUAAAAAGGGAGUCCCAGAAACAGCAACAGAAGCCAGUUUUGCAGGAGCUGCCAGAGAUAAUAGAAAUUCUUUCUCCAUAUGUCCCAGCCUAUCCCCCUUUACCGAGGCCAACAGCCCCCUCAGAAAUGAGAUUCAGGAGCUAACAUGCCCCAGGUCUCACCUCAAAGGGGAGGAUCGGAGCCUCGAGAGGCCGAGGAAGGAAGUCAAGAUAGUCAAGUGGGCCCUCUCAGAUCUGGUCUUGCUCGAGCUAUGCAAAUGCCUCUCAGGGAGACGCGAGGACCUGUCUAUUAUAAUGACCAGGCCCACAUCUGGGGGGGCAACAGACUUUCAUCUAUCAGCCCUUUUCAACCAUUGAUCUACUAAACUGGAAAUACCCUGAACCCUCCACCUUGCUCCUGGCAGCUAGAGCCCUGUCGAGCAUAACUGUGUAGAGGUGUUGGACUCAAGUUUACUCUAGCAGACCUGACCUCCAGGACCAGCCUUGGGCAUCAGUAAACUGGGAGCUAUACGUGGACGGGAACAGCUUCAUCAACCCACAAGGAGAGAGAUGUGCAGAAUAUGCGGUGGUAACCCUGGACACUGUCGUUAAGCUGAGCUGAUUGCUUUAAUUCAGUCCUUAGAACUCAGUGAAGGUAAGACUGUAAACAUUUACACUGACUCUCGGUAUGCCUGUUUAACCCUCUAAGUGCAUGAAAAAUUAUAUUAAAAAAAGAGCCUGUUACUCUAGGAAAAAGGGGAAAAAAACCCAGAGAAUGCAACUCAGCUUCAGCGUUUGCAGAGGUACUGAGAAGCACUUCUGCAGAGGCUAAGAGUUGGUAGAAAAAAGCAAGUAAUAUAAAAAAGAUUUCAGAAAUUUUUCAAGGAGCUGACAAGAGCCUAAGUCAGUUUUAUAAGAGACUCUAUAAAGCAUUCUGGCUUUACACCCCAUUUAACCCUGAGGCCGCUGAAAAUCAGUAUAUAGUGAAUACUUCAUUUGUAAAGCAAGCCCAGGGUAACAUCAAGCAGAAGCUGCAGGCAUGAAUACCACCUAGUCUAUAAAAGUGGCCACCAAGGUGUAUGUUAACUGUGACCAAGGAACAAAACUAGGAAAGAGCAAAAGAAAAAAAAAAAAGACUGAGAGUAAGUGUGAAAAAGAGAAUCAGAAGGAAACAGGAGAGACAGACCGCAGUGCGCAGGGGCAGGGCCCGUGCUGUUGCCUGGCCCCACCAGCUGGCCGUAGGAGUAGGAUAACUCAGAAAGAAAAAAAAAAAACAAAGACUUAAGUAAAAAAGCCAAUCUGUUAGCAACAGCUCUUAUACAAAGAAAAAUUAGCAAUGUGAGAGGAUGUGGACGUGGAUGUAGACGUGAAAGAAGUCAAGUUAGGCAAGGAUUCAAGAGCCGGACAAGGCUAGAGAGAGAUUAAUGUGCGAGAUGCAAAAAGAAAGGACACUAAAACGGUAAAUAUUCAAAAGGCAAUAAAGGAAAUGGCCAAGGCCACAAGGCAAAGAGGGCCGAGGGCCGCCGCACCUUGGAGGAACAAAAUACUGACCUGAUCAGGCUGACAGGAACUAAAGAAUGUAAAGACUAGGGCAGACUAGGCACCUUCUCAUUAGGCUCCUAGGAGCCCAUGGUCACAACAAAAGUUAAAAGCAGCAGAUUCUGCUGUAUCUGGAUUCCAAUUUCUCACUGAAGGUUAAGCACUAGAUAGAGUUACAAAGUGGAGGGGGGAAGAACCCCUCCUCUAAGAAACUUAAACAGGAGAAAGAGCCAUACCUUGUGAGAACUUGCUUGUAGACUUUACAGAACUGCCCCGUGCUGGAGGCUAUCGGUACAUGCUAGUGCUUGUUUGCACCUUUUCAGGGUAAGUUAAAGUUUUCCCCACCAGGACAAAAAAAAUUACAAGAAGUAACUAAAGUACUGUUAAAAGACAUUAUCCCCAGGUUUAGACUACUUCUAACUUUAAAGUCAGACAAUAGGCCAGCAUUUGUAGUUGAAAUAGUACAAGAUUUAACAAGGCUGUUAAAAAUAAAAUGGAAGUUAAACACAACCCAUCAGCCACAAAGUUCAAGAAAAGGUGGAAAGCAUGAACUGGACACUUGAGCAGCUACUGAAAAAAAUAUUGCCAGGAAAUUCAUGUAAGAUAAAAUCAGGUUUUUGCCUAUGGUCCUCCUCCGAGUCAGGUGCACCCCCAAACAAACAAGGUAUUUGCCCUAUAAGAUUUUGUUCAGUCGGCCACCCCCAAAUCAUAGGUCAAAUUAAAGGUGACCUCCAGAAACUACAGGAAUUAACCUUAAAAAAGCAAAUGCAGGCUUUAAAAAUAGCCAUACAAAGUGUUCAUAAUUAAAUAAAUAAAAAUGCCUAUAAGCCUGACACCCCUUUAAAUCUAGUGACUCUGUUUAAAGUAAAAAAGUAAAAUCAAAUUUUUCUAGGACCCAUAUAGGAUGGACCCUAUACUGUAACCUUGUCCACUCCCACUGCUGUUAAAGUUGCAGGUGUUGUGUCUUGGAUCCAUCACAGUCAGCUAACACUGGCAGCUCAGGACAAGUGGACCAGCCAGCAGGAUGCAGAUCACCCAACCUGGCUGAUCCUGAGACGAGACCAAGCUGCUGCUGAGGACGACAGCCCUGCUCUGGUCACUCCGGAGGCUGACCAGUCUACGCACGGCCGAAGCUUGAGGACUCAUCGAGCAAGUAAAUGUAGUUAAAAAUCUUAAGACUAAUAGUUUUCCUGUAAUACUAACUGUUUUCCUAUUGUUCGGUCGCUGUAUUCAACCUUUUUCCCAGGUAAGGACCUCUUUUGUCCUUGCUGGAUACGAAUAUGCUGUACAUUGUUUUGUUGUUGUUAACCCCCAUAACCAUGUUAGAAGAAACACCUAUAUAAGGUGUCCCCACUGUACACAUACUACUUAGGAAACCCAGACCUGUCCAGCCCAGUAACAAUUCUGAGUCUUUCAGUCAUUCUUUAAACAUAUAAACCAGAAGUUACCAGAACCUCCUCCUUUAGCAAAAACAGAAAAAACCUAUUUGCUCAGCUGGCUGAAAACAUUGCUAGCUGCCUAGAUGUUUCUUCAUGUUAUGUUUAUAAAAAGGCUAACAUAAGAGACCAAUGGCCUUGAGAAGCAAAAGAGUUAAUGCCUCAAGAUAACUUUAACUAGCUCUUUCCCCAAACAGAUGCCACAAGUUCAAGCAUCUGGCUCUUAAAACUUCUAUUAUUAAAAAAUACCAUGUUACUCACUAGGAAAAAGCUUUUAAGACACAGUAAAAAGAACUAACCUGCUUAAGGCAUGACAAAGUUGGUACAUGUGCAUAUACAGGUUUAACACAGGUCUGAUCCUAGGUGUUCAUUUAGAACAUAGUUUCCAGCUGUAAGAAAAUUUAAAACCCUCAUUGUAAGUGUAUUACUAGUAAUAGGAACUUGCUUGCUGCUCCCCUGUAUAUUAUAUUUGCUCCUUCAAAUGAUAAAAGGUUUUGUAGCUACCAUGGUUCAGCAGAAAACUUCAACACAAGUAUAUUACAUAAAAUACUAUCACUCUGUCUCACAAAAAGACUCAAAAAGUAAAAAUAAAAGAACUCCCACUGAUUAGUGAAAAUUCUCAAAGGGGGAGAUAAGGAAGGAGACCACUACUACUCCUGCUGCCCUCCUCUCCCCACCUUGCCUAGUUCGCAAGACAGGAGGAGAGAAAAACAAAAAGUUGGAAAAAAAACAAAAGUAAGAUAAACAGCCAGACAACCUUGGCACCACCACCCGGCCUUAGGAGUUAAAAAAAGUAAUAAUGAUAACCUCAACCCCUGACCUAAACUACUUGUGUUGUCUGUAAAUUUCAGACACUGUAUGAAAAAAAGCAUUGUAAAACUUUUUGUUCUGUUAGCUGAUGCAUAUAGCCCCCAGUCAUGUUUCCCAUGCUUGCUUGAUGUACCACGACCCUUACACGUGGACCCCUUAAAGUUGUAAACCUUUAAAAAGGCCAAGAAUUUCUUUUUCGGGGAGCUCGGCUCUUAAGACACGAGUCUGACAAUGCUCCUGGCCGAAUAAAAACCUCUUCCUUCUUUAAUUCAGUGUCUGAGGAGUUUUGUCUGUGGCUCGUCCUGCUACAAUAAAAGGUUAAAAAGAGUCUAUAAAAUCUUACCUUAUGGUCAAACAUUAAAAAUUAGAUAAAUAUGUCUACAAGGUUUUAUUAAAAUUAAGUUUAACAUUAAUAACACACUAAUAUAAAAAUAAAAUUUAGCUUAUCUGGUAUAAAAAUCACACGAGAAGCACUGUUAAGUGUAAAAUGGUAUUUGGCUUUCUUUGGUUUAAAAAGUAAUAAACAUUUUUCUCAGUAAAAAGGCACUAAGGAAUAUAAAGUCCACUGCCAAGGUCCC
RNAcentral lists this long non-coding RNA (5747 nucleotides) under Homo sapiens (human). Its description in RNAcentral is "HSALNT0004779". The record is from RNAcentral. Lineage: Eukaryota; Metazoa; Chordata; Mammalia; Primates; Hominidae.